Molecule: long non-coding RNA, 18201 nt
Filed under: Nicotiana benthamiana
Lineage: Eukaryota; Viridiplantae; Streptophyta; Magnoliopsida; Solanales; Solanaceae
Description: long non-coding RNA (NBEN_LNC028364)
Source: RNAcentral
GUCCGACGAGACUCCCAACACUAUGUUGUGAUCAGUGCGGUAAGGCCCACUUGGACUGUGCCAUCGAGGUUCGGAUGCGUGUUAUUCUUGCGGACAGCGUCACCGUAUGAUGUGGGAUUGUCCUAACAGAGUAGGUGAUGGUAUGGCUCAACCGACAGGAUCUGUGUCUGGUUCUUCCUUAUCAGUUCGACCUCCAGCACGGGGUUUUCAGCAAUCGACAGGUCGUGGUAGAGGUAGAGGUGCAGGGCCGAGUUCGAGUGGUGCUCUUAGUCGAACCUAUGCUCUAGUACAUCGAUAGGAUCUCGAGUCAUCUCUAGAUGUAAUUACAAGUAUAUUGCCUGUAUUUUUUUAUGAUGUAUACGCGCUGAUUGAUCCUGGAUCCACAUUAUCAUAUCUUACACCCUUUGUGGCUAAUAUGUUUGGUGUUGAACCUAAAUUGAUAAGUAAACCCCUUGUGGUAUCAACUCCAAUAGGAGAUUCUAUGAUUGCUAGAAUGGGAUAUAGAGGUUAUACUGUGAUGAUUUUUAGUCGUCAAACCUCGGCAAAUUUAUUUGAGUUAAAAAUGGUUGAUUUCGAUGUGAUAAUGGGAAUGGACUGGUUGUCCUCAUGCUAUGCAAAUGUUGAUUGUCGUACGAAGAUUGUUAGGUUUCAAUUUCCUAGUGAACCCGUCAUUGAAUUGAAGGGGAACAUAUCUACACUGAAAGGUAGGUUUAUUUCCUAUCUUAAGGUAAGGAAAUGAUCUCAAAAGUUUACAUUUAUCAUCUCGUUCACGUUAGAGAUGCGGAGGCAAAGCAGCCUAAUCUAAAAUCAAUCCAUGUGGUUAAUGAAUUUCCAGAUGUUUUCCCAGAUGAACUCCUAGGCCUUCCUCCUUAAAGGGAGAUCGAAUUUAGCAUUGAUGUGUUGCCUGACACUCAACCGAUCUUUAUACCUCUAUACAGAAUGGCCCCAACAGAGUUACGAGAGUUGAAGGUGCAUUUGAAGGACUUGCUGGGUAAGGGCUUCAUUAGGCUAGCACUUCACCUUGGGGUGCGGCAGUUAUAUUCGUGCGGAAAAAAGACGGGUCGUUACGGAUGUGUAUCAACUAUCGACAGUUGAAUAAAUUUAUUGUAAAGACAAGUAUCCAUUUCCAAGAAUUGAUGACUUGUUUGACCAACUCCAGGGUGCCAAGUAUUUCUCCAAGAUUGACUUAUGUUCAGGGUAUCAUCAGGUGAGGGUUAAGGAGAACGAUAUUCCAAAGACGACCUUAUGGACAAGAUAUGGGCACUUUGAGUUAUUGGUAAUGUGGUUCGGGCUAACAAAUGCCCCAGAAGCUUUUAUGGAUCUCAUGAAUACAUUAUUCAGGCCCUAUCUUGAUGUGUUCAUGAUUGUAUUUAUUGAUGACAUUCUGGUGUAUUCUCGUUCGGAUGCGGAACAUGCGGUCCACUUGCGGAUAGUAUUACAGACGCCUUAGGAUCGUAAGUUAUAUGCUAUGCUCUACAAAUGUGAAUUCUGGCUGAACUCAGUAGCAUUCCUUGGCCAUGUGAUAUCUGAAGAGGGUAUCAGUGUCGAAACUCAGAAGAUCGAUGCAGCAAAGAAUUGGCCGAGACCUACAACAUCAUCAGAAGUCUGUAACUUCCUAGGACUAGCAGGAUAUUAUAGGCGGUUUGUAGAAGGGUUUUCCUCUAUAUCAGCACCAUUGACUAAGNNNNNNNNNNNNNNNNNNNNNNNNNNNNNNNNNNNNNNNNNNNNNNNNNNNNNNNNNNNNNNNNNNNNNNNNNNNNNNNNNNNNNNNNNNNNNNNNNNNNNNNNNNNGUGGUCUGACGCUUGUGAACAUAGUUUUCAGGAGCUGAAGAAUCGAUUGACAUCCGCACCAGUGCUCACUUUCCCUGAUGGAACAGAAGGAUAUGUGGUAUAUUGUGAUUCCUCAGGUUUAGGUUUGGGGUGCGUAUUGAUGCAACGAGAAAAAGUGAUGUCUUAUGCAUCAAGACAAUUGAAGAAGCAUGAAAAGAAUUACCCGACUCAUGAUUUUGAAUUGGCUGCAGUAAUAUAUGCUUUGAAGAUAUGGCGGCACAACUUAUACGGCGUCUAUGUUUACAUCUACAUAGAUCAAAAGAGUCUACAAUACAUCUUCAAGCAGAAAGAGUUGAAUUUGAGGUAGCGUAGGUGGGUUGAAUUACUGAGAGACUACGAGUUGAGACGUUGUAUCAUCCCGGUAAAGCAAAUGUUAUGGCAGACGCUCCCAGCUGUAAGUCAGUAGGAAGCUUAGUACACAUUGAGGCAGGUAAAUGAGGGUUAACUAAAGAGCUUCAUCAGCUAUCCAAUAUGAGAAUUAGAUUAUUAGACUCUGAUGACGGAGGUGUUACUGUACAUAAUACAUCUGAAUCAUCUUUGGUAGCCGAGGUAAAAGCACGGCAAUAUUAAGAUCCUAUCUUAGUACAAUUGAGAGAGAAAGAGCAUUCAGCAGUGUAAAAUUAUGGAUUUUGAGAUAGGAGGAGAUGGAGCACUAAGAUACAAGGGACGAUUGUGUGUGCCUAAUGGCAGGGUUGGGAGAAAAGAUUAUGAAUGAGAUUCACCAAUCUCGCUAUUCUAUCCAUCCCGUCUCGACAAAGAUGUAUCAUGAUGUCCAGGAGCAGUAUUGGUGGGAUAAUAUGAAGAAGUCUAUUAUAGAAUUUGUAGCCUAGUGUCCUAAUUGUCAACAAGUAAAGAUAGAACAUCACAAAACCCGGUGGAUUGCUUCAAAAUAUAGAGAUUCCGACCUAGAAAUGGGAGGUGAUUAAUAUGGACUUCGUUAUUGGAUUACCUCUCUCUUAUCAUAAGUUUGACUCCAUCUGGGUGAUAGUUGAUCGACUUACAAAAUGUGCCCAUUUUCUACCAGUUAAGACUACUUACAUGGCUGAAGAUUAUGUGAAGUUAUAUAUAAUGGAGAUUGUUAGGCUUCAUGGUGUGCCGAUAUCUAUUAUAUUAGACCGAGGAGCUCAAUUUACGGCUAACUUUUGGAGGUCUUUUCAGAAGGGUUUAGGCACACAAGUGAAUCUCAGCAUUGCAUUUCAUCCGCAAAUUGACGGGCAGACAGAACUUACCAUUUAGACACUAGAAGAUAUGCUACGAGCAUGUGUUCUAGAUUUUAAGGGAAAUUGGGAUGACCAUCUUCCACUCAUAGAAUUUGCCUUCAAUAAUAGCUAACAAUUCAAGUAUUAAAAUGGCCCCAUAUGAGGCACUAUACGGGAGAAUAUGCAGAUCACGGUUGGAUGGUUCGAAGAUGGUAAAACAGAAUUAUAUGGGCAAGAUUUGAUUCACAAGCCAUUGAAAAGGUGAGGGUGAUACAAGAACGAUUGAGGACGACACAAAGCAGGCAAAAAUCUUAUUCCGAUGUCCGACGCCGUGAUUUGGAAUUUGAGGUUGGUGAUUGGGUUUUCUUGAGGAUCUCACCAAUGAAGAGUGUUAUGCGUUUUUGGAAGAAAGGUAAACCGAGUUCAAGGUAUAUCGGUCCAUUUAAAAUUCUUCAACGAAUUGGAUAAGUUGCUUAUGAGUUGGAAUUGCCAUCCGAAUUUGAAAUUGUCCACUUGGUAUUCCAUGUAUCUAUGUUGAGAAAAUGUAUUGGAGACCCUUCUCGAGUUGUCCCUAUCAUUACCAUCCGAAUUGGAAUUUGUCCAUUCCGUAUUCCAUGCCUAUGUUGAGGAAAUGUAUUGGGGACCCUUCUCGAGUUGUCCCUAUCAAUGAUGUACAAGUUACAAAGGAUCUAUCAUAUGAAGAGGUUCUAGUGGUUUUAUUAGAUCGACAAUUCCGCAAGCUGAGAAUAAAAGAUGUAGCUUCCGUCAAAGUAUUGUGGAGGAACAAGAAUAUGGGAGAAAUAACAUGGGAAGCGGAAAAAGAGAUGAAGUCUAAAUACCCUUACCUACUCCAGAAUGAUGAUAACAAGGAUGGUGGUGGAACACAAGAUACAUUGGAAAGGUGGAACGACUUUAUGAGGUAAGCAAUAACUUGAGAACGCUCUUCCUUUAUACAAAAUGGUGAUAUCUAAAUAAUGUAAAUUUCCAUAAUGCUUUGUGUAGCCUUGUGAGGCCAUACGUUGGGCUUGAGUGCUUGAAAAUUUUGCUAGUAACCAUUUUAUAGGGGAAAAUGGACCGAAAAUUUCUGUUGGAAUCCACAAUGAUCUAGACUCCCCAUAAAGCCUUACAUUCGAGCACGUAUAUUCCUAAGGAGGGGAGGGUGUUACAACCCAUAUCCACACGCAUUAGUUCAUGCCAUACGUUAGUUAACAUAAAUCAAAGAAGGAAUUAUCCUUGAGACGAUAAGAAGUUAAUCUUAUUGGUCUUAAGUGAUACAAGGGUGUAUAAGGGUGAUUAACAAGCAAGAAGGAAUUAUCAUUGAAAUGAUAAAAAGUUAAUCUUAUUGAUCUUAAGUAAUACAAGGGUAAUUAACUAGUAUUAGAAGUUAAGAUAAUCAAGGAUGUAACUCAUAUUUUCAGGUAAAUCUAGAGGUGCUUAAUACACUCAAAAGGUCAUGUAUUGAGUUAUUUGAAUCAUAUAAUAUCCAUAUCAUAAGUCUUGAAGUCAAACGAGUUAUGAAACAAAGGUCGACAAAAGUUGUCGCAACUUAGGUUCAUAAUUUUACUUAAAAAUUAAGUCAAAUGUUUCUAAGCUUUUCUCCCAAUCUGGAAAGAAUUACAGGGUGAUCUACCCACCAAAUUAUCAUCUAUGAAUCUAGUUUCCAACACGUUAAACCAUUUAUCAAUAUGAUCUCGGAGUAUAGAGAUAUUCAUAUUUUCGCAAGCCUGCAUAGAUUGGUAGAUUAUAAGUAGGUGCAUCACCUACUUGCCAAAAUGAUAGGCCAAAAUUAAAAGACCUAAGUCGGCCAAGAGAGGACUUUUAAGGGGUUAUGAAUUCAGUUAUUUUACCCAUAUUUCAGACCAUCAAAACCAAAAUUAAACCCUGCAACUCCUUCCAUAAAAUCUCGCACAAAACCUAAUCGAUUUUCCCUCUCUUUCAUGUUCAAUUUGAAGGUAAAACCUAGAGUUUAAAGAAAAAAGAGAAGGGCUGAGUUAUCCAACAUGUAAGCUAAGUUACAGCCAUCUUUCAUACAUUUUUCUCUGCUGUGAAUUCAUGGUAAUUCGUUCUAUACGUAUAAGAACUCAGGGGAUGGUGAUCGGAAGCUGUGAGUUCGAGUUAUUCACUUGUAGCAGACUGUUUUGUAGACUGUUUUGUGUUGCUGUUGGUCUACGUGUUUUACUACUUUUUUGUGGAGUUUUGGAGGUGGAAGGUUGUGGAGAAACACCAUAUAUAUGUAUGGUUGUGGGCUGAUAGUUAUUCGUAACAUUUCCGGGACGUUUGGCAUGACUACGGUCGUCGUCGUAUGUAUGAAGUAAUUAUGUUCUGCAUGGACUAUUUUUGGAGGCUCAAUGUGUUUAUUAUUGAUGUUGUUUGGGCUGUUUGGUGAUUUUUUUUUGAAUGGUGUAAAGUCAUAUAUAUAUAGGGGAGGUGUUGUCCAUUUCAUCGUAAAAUAGGUUGUGAUCGAUACAUAAUUGUUAUGAUUCUUAAAUGAUAAUGAUAGUAUUGUUUCUCUUAUUGUAGACUAAGGAGUUGUGACAAUUGUAUAGCUUGAGAUUGGGGCAGUAUAUAUAAGAUAUGUGAGGCUAUCCCUUUACUUCUUUUUCACGACUCUGAUUAUACACAAUGUGAUGAAUGAACUUCCAAAGAUACUCUACUCUUAGAAGCUAGCAGUACUUACAUUGUUUCCUCUCUUAUGGAACGAUUGAUGUGAUGUUACUUAUAUUAUUCUUAUGUCAUCAAUGUUGUUGGCACUUCCUGAUUCUUCUAAGGUUCAUAGUGAAGAGUUAGUCCUAAUAACGUCUAUAGAGGAUACCGAUCUUACGUCACCCUGAAAGGUCUACAACGUGUUUCCAUGAGUCGAGCAAGCAUUAUAUAUAUGUAUCUAUUUUACUAUACCGAGCCACGCUAUAGUCGGCAGGGUACGACACCUAUUGUGAAACCACAGAUCAGUUGGGUUUUACCGAGCUCCACGUGGCCGGGUAUGAUUCUACGGAGCCUUAUGAUGGCCGGGUACAUUUUUUUUACUGAGCCCAUAACGGUUGGGUACAAUAUGAUGAUGCUCACAGAGGCGUAUGUUUUUAAACGUUUAUGUAUUUAUACAUAUGUAUCAUGCAUUUCAUGUCAGUAGCCUUCAGAGGUACUUAGAUGUUACAUGUUGUAUAUUCUCUAUCCCUGCUACAUUACUGUUCGGAUUUAUGGUUCCCUGCCUUACAUACGAAGUACUUUAUUUGUACUGAUUGGACACCGCAUGUUGUGCUACAGGUCCUGAUAGACAGGCAGGUGCAGCUCCCCCACCACAGUAGGCUUUCCAAUUCAGGGGUGAUUGGCGAGAUCCCUUCUCCGUACUUGCCGUUGUCUUGGUAUGUAUUUUUGUUAUGGAUAUUAUGGGUAUGUCGGGGGCCCUGUUCCAUUUAUGUUGCAACAUUUAUGUUCCUUUAGUGGCUCAUAGACAUGUGUUGACUCCUGUAUAGUUAGUAUGCCUUGUCGGCUUUUUUUUGUGUUAUAUAGUCUUUCAUGGUAGCUUGGUAUCUAGCAAAUUAUAUAUAUAUAUAUANNNNNNNNNNNNNNNNNNNNNNNNNNNNNNNNNNNNNNNNNNNNNNNNNNNNNNNNNNNNNNNNNNNNNNNNNNNNNNNNNNNNNNNNNNNNNNNNNNNNNNNNNNNNNNNNNNNNNNNNNNNNNNNNNNNNNNNNNNNNNNNNNNNNNNNNNNNNNNNNNNNNNNNNNNNNNNNNNNNNNNNNNNNNNNNNNNNNNNNNNNNNNNNNNNNNNNNNNNNNNNNNNNNNNNNNNNNNNNNNNNNNNNNNNNNNNNNNNNNNNNNNNNNNNNNNNNNNNNNNNNNNNNNNNNNNNNNNNNNNNNNNNNNNNNNNNNNNNNNNNNNNNNNNNNNNNNNNNNNNNNNNNNNNNNNNNNNNNNNNNNNNNNNNNNNNNNNNNNNNNNNNNNNNNNNNNNNNNNNNNNNNNNNNNNNNNNNNNNNNNNNNNNNNNNNNNNNNNNNNNNNNNNNNNNNNNNNNNNNNNNNNNNNNNNNNNNNNNNNNNNNNNNNNNNNNNNNNNNNNNNAUCCAUGUCUACCAUUUAUACUGAUCUUGUCAGCCCUAAAAGAUAAUAAAGAAGGUUAGAUAAAAUGUAUGUUGGUGCUCGGCAAGUAUGGUUGGGGGUAUUCAUGGCCCUCCUGUUUGGGUCGUGACAUCUUAUUUCUUACAUCACCCCCCGUCCUAACCUUGUAGAAGCAAUGUUUACAUUUUAGGACCCACAAGGAAUAGUAUUCAUGUUUUGGGAUCUUGAGAUGACACCCACCUUAGCUGAGACAUCCGGGUUAACUCACCUGCUAUACCUUGACAAGGAUUUGAUUUUACAAGGGAUUAUUCAAGCACCACGUUCCUUAAGAUCAUAGGGAUGGAUUCAAAAAAUCACAUGGGAUGUCUAGAAAUCUUGGGUACCUUUGGACUUUUUAUUCGAGAGGUUUCCUCAUCCUACUAGGUAUGAGACCUUCAUACAUGAAUUUUAUGUAUCAUAUUAUUCUUGGAAGAAGAGGCGUCCUGUGGUCUUCGCUAUUACAUUGUUGAGUCUCUUGUUUUUUCGUUUGGAGGGUAGACAUAUUAGCACGAGUCUAGGGUCAAUAGCCUUUGCACUUUUCCAGGGUAAACACAAUAGUAAGGUCACCUUGGUUUCGACAAUUUUGGCAGAGAUCUAUCGUGCUUUGACUAGGAUUCGAGAGGGUGAGAUUUUCUUUGGGGGAAACAACUUGUUGAUGCAGUUGUGGAUGAUGGAACACAUACAUCCUACCACCUUGUUUGAGAAAGAUGUGAUUGACCGUUGUAUGAGACAUCGAUUGAAGUGCAUCGAGCAUAGAAUGACUUUCGAUAAUUUUGCCUUGCCACUCGAAGUUUAGGCUUGGGUUGAUUACUUAGGAUCCUUCUCUAAAGAGAAGAUUUUGUGGUCAUACCUUCGGAUUGAUUUGGACCUGAUCUUAGCAGGAUCUCAUGUCCAAGAAUUUUUUGUACUAAUUGGACUUUGGUGUACUAGACCAUAUACCCCUGGUAGAGUGAUCCGUCAGUUAGGGAGACGGCAAGAAGUCCCCUACACUCCUGAUUCUCGGAACUUCAUUUGGGAAUUUGACACUAUGCCUCAUAAGGAGGUCGACAUCCAGACCUAUUAGCAUCAUGCAAUGAAGAUGGGUAAGGAUACUUUAGCAGCUGGCCCACAUUCACCUGGGUAUAUCCAUGAGUACUUCAUAUGGCUACAGUCUACUCAGCGGGGGGUUCGCAGGCCAUUGCCCUGACGUGUUAGAGGAGUAUUUAACGAGGAGGCCACCUCACGGAUAUUACUUAGACAGUUGAUGGAUUAAUUUACCCAUGCAAAAGAGGCCCAUGCAGUAGAAAGUGUUGGGCUUCGAGCUUCAGUUCAAUCAUUUAGAUCAUAGUUGGCAGGGUUGGUAGAGAACAUGGGACAACACUGUGAGUACCUUACUAGAGUCAACCUUCAAGAUGCAAGCUCGCAUUCCAGGAUUCUCAUUCCUAGUUUCGAGGUGUCUUGGCAGGGUAUAAUAUGGAUCUUAAAUUCGAUAGGAUUGAUGGGGCCAUCCGAAUCUUCAUCAUACCCAUCACAGCUAGGACCGUCACAUUCAGAAGCAACUUAAGGAGUCAAUCAAUUUACGUGUUUUGAGAUUGUAUUUUGUUGUCUUUUACUUUUGAAUUUUGUCUAGAAGUACUGAGUCCUUUGGAUAGUGCCAGAGUCUAUCAUAGUGUAGUUGAGUCUGUCAGGUUUUUUAUUAUUGUACUUCCCAUUGUAUUUUAAUAUCGAAAUGUUUUUAAAUGAAAAUCCCAAAAAGAUUUUAUUUUAGUUUAUUUUCCAUCACUUUUCCAGAACUACGCUAGGUCCGAUUCAUGAAGGACAUGAUACGUAGGCAACUUACAUCGGGUUCGAUCAAGUCCUUUUUGAUUAAAAAAAAGAGUGGGAAGAAAAUAAUAAGUGGUGCUAGGAAAGAAAGAGAAGCAAUGAUUGAAAUAAGAAAAUUUGCAUGAUGUCAUAUGACCAUGUGACCCUCAAAGCCAAUUUAGAACCGCUAAUUUUUGCUAGGUGCAUUACAUGUAAUGUGAUGUUAUUAUAUGAUAAAUACUCUAAUGCUAAUAUGGUUGUUUUGUAUUGUAUUCCUCUGUUAUCUUUAUUCAAUUUUCAUAAAGGUGGUAAGUUUGUUGGCAUCCUGGCAAGCCAUCUAUAGAAUACCUUGUAAAAGCGUCAAACAGUCAUGGAUAGCAAAAAACAGACACAGGAGUUGUAGACCCACCAAGGCAGAUUGUUGAGUCGGAAUCGGAACUGCCAGAGGAGGUUCGGAGGUUGAAGCAUCAGAUGGCGAAAAUUUGUCAAGCCUGGAUUAAGAGACACCCUCCACCCUCGUUCCCUACCAACUAAAAAGAAAACCCUACUUCGAUUCGACCACUCUCCUAAUCCCAGAUGCCUAAUAUCAUUGAUCUUUCUCCACAACACGUACCGGGAUUUACCCCUUACCAUAACUACCCCGACACUUCGGCCUAAGCUUUUCACGCUCCACCAGCCAAAAUAACCUCGUACCAUGCUCCAAUAUCUACUCCCAUUUUUGUACCCCUUCCACAAGCUACCCUUCACUGAUCCUCUAGUGAGCCUGCGUUCCUCUCUCCAGAUACCCAUUACUAUGAACCAAAGCCCACCUUCAAAGUCCCAGAUCCUUACUCCUACACUUCCCACUUUGAGCCCAUGUUGAAAAUGACAAACCACCAAAGAAAGCAGAACAAGAGGAAAUAUUUAGGAAGGUAAAGAGUCUGGAGCAAUCAUUAAGAUAUAUGCAAGGGGUUGGAAAUCAGGUGAAUGUGGCUUAUAAAGAUGUAUGUUUGUUCCCUAAUGUCAAACUACCUGUCGGGUUCAAGAUGCCCAUGUUUGAAUUGUAUGACGGGCAUGGGGAUCAUAUUGCUCAUAUGAGAGGUAAUUACAGCAAAAUAAGAGGCAUCGUGGGAAAAGACAAAUUACUGAUUGCAUACUUCAGCCAAAGUGUGAAUGGUGCAGCUUUAGAAUGGUACACCCGCCAGGACGCCAGUAAGUGGUACACCUGGGAAGAUAUGGCUGAGGACUUCGCCUGGCACUUUGAGUAUAAUAUAUAAACUGUUCCAGACCACCUAUCUCUGAUCAAGGUGGAAAAGAAAUCUAGUGAAAGCUUUAGAUAAAAUGGGUUUCGAUGGAGGGAGCAAAUUGCAAGAGUCAAUCCUCUGAUGGAAGAAGAUGAGAUGAUUGAAUACUUUCUUCAAUCCUUGGAGCCCACUUACUAUGGCCAUUUGAUCUCAGCCAUCGAUAAAUCUUUCAAUGAUGUGCUAAAUAUGGGAGAAAUGGUGAAAGAGGGGCUCAAUUCAAGCAAGAUCAUGAGUUAUUCUGCUAUAAAAUCAAUCACACAGGCAAUCUAAAGCGGUACCGAUAGCCUGCUAGGAAAGAAGAAGAAGGAAGAUGUUACUAUGGCUGUUCCUAGACCAUGGCAUGGCCAGAGGGGUUCACCUCAUCAGUAUACCCAUCCUCGAUCCCAACCUCAAACCUAUAUCCAAGCUCAAUAUAAUCCAUCCCAACAUUACUUUUCCCCGCAAAACCCCCAAUACUCAGCCAGACCACCUUAAUACCAUGUUAACCAUGCACAAUCAUAUGCCCAACCCCCUCCUUACCCGCAAUGGCAUGCUCCAUCUCCACAAAAUACCUACCCACCUCCACAACUCUAUCAAAACCCCAAUGGUUCAAAAUUUCGACCAAGAGAGAGGCAACAAAGGAAACAAACUUUUACCCCGCUUGGCGAAUCCUAUGCUAGUCUAUUUCGAAGGUUAAGGCAGUUGGAUGUCUUGAGGCCGAUCGAGUCAAAGAUACCAAAUCCCCCUCCAAAGAACCUCGAUUAUUCCCUAAGAUGUGCAUAUUGUUCUGAUGCUCCGGGGCAUGACAUAGAGAACUCCUAGCAUUUGAAAAAGGCAAUCCCGAAGCUCAUCAAUAGAAACCAAAUUGUAGUCUAAAGCCUAAACGCACCGAACAUCAACCAGAAUCCAUUGACGGCCCAUGAUGAAACACAUAUGAUUGAGAUAGUUCACAAGGAUGGGGAGCCCAAGAAGUCUUCUAAGUCCAUCAUGAUGAUUCAGGCCAGUGAAGUAAUUUGGUUAAAGCUCUAGUCUUUACCAAAACAAAGCCCUUGACAGUUGAAGGGGUAACAGAAAAGCUGAGCUCGCUCAAUUUGAAGCCGCCGGUAUUGGUCGUGAAAGAGCCUUCAAAAGAUAUUAGGGCAAGUUUGGAAAGUUCAAAAGUGGUAGUGCUAGGGAUUCCAAGUAAGCCUGUCAUAGUCAUGAGGGGCGAUCCUAUUACCCUUAUCGUCACUAAACCAGUGACCCAUUUGGCAAUGGUUGAAUCAAAAGUUGUUCCAUGGAAUUACAAACAAGUGACGGUGACAUACAAUGGAAAGGAAAUAGAGAAAGAAGUUAAUGAAACCAGGGGAUUGACUCAUUAUGGGAGAUGUUUCACCCUAGAAGAACUAAGGAAAGCCAAGCCAUUCAAGGAUGGCCAAAUACUAGUAAAGAAAUCGGUCAUAGAGGAAGAGGCUGAGGAGUUUAUGAUAAAGAUGAAAGUGCAUGAUUAUUCCAUUGUGGAGCAGUUAAGGAAAACAUCAGCUUUGAUUUCUCUUUUGUCUUUGCUGAUACAUUCAGAUGAGUAUCGCAGGGUCCUGAUGAAGAUUUUGAAUUAGGCACAUGUUCCUAGCAAAAACACAGAGAACCACUUGGAAAACAUAUCUCGCAAGAUCUUUGAAGAAAACGGGAUCACUUUCUCAGAUGAUGAACUUCCUAUGGAGUGUACAAAAACAAUCGAGCUCUUUAUCUCAUGGUAAAGUGUGAAGAUUCUGUCGUCUCAAGGGUUUUGGUUGACAAUAGCUUUAGUAAAUAUAUUUUCCCCAUGUCUUCUCUGCAAAUAUUGGAGAUCGACACCGAAAUAAUCCACAUGAACAGUGUGUGUGUUCGAGGCUUUGAUGGGGGAGAUAAAGAUUCUGUUGGAGAUAUAAUGCUCAAUUUAUCGAUAGGGCCAAUUGAGUUCACUAUGGAAUUCCAAGUGCUAGAUGUGGCUGUCUCCUACAAUCUGUUGUUGGGCAGGCCCUAGACACAUACUACUAAGGCAGUACCGUCUUCUUUGCACCAAAUGGUGAUGUUCGAAUGGGAUAGGUAAGAAAUAGUUGUGCAUGGUGAUGGGGACUUGUCAUCUUGUAAUGACACAAUCGUUUCGUUUAUUGAAGCUGAGGAUGAUAAAGGACCUUGGGUCUAUCAAAAUUUCGAAACACUGUCUGUUGAGAAGAUUCCUAAAGGAAAAUGCAUUCUGGGUCCUAAGCUAUCCUUUGCGGGUUUCAUGGUUGAGAAUGAAAUAUUGAAGAAUAGUUUGUGCCGGGCAAGGGCCUAGGCUCAUCUCUAUAGAGUAUUAUGCAUCCAGUGCACCCAAGUGGGAAUCCUGGUACAUUUGGUUUGGGAUUCACGCCCAUAGAGAAGGACCUGAAAAGGGUUAAAAAUCUAAAACAAAAGAUAUGGUCACUCCACAAGCCUGACCCGCACAUUUCUAAGUCCUUUGUCAAGAUAAGGGCCAAAAAACUUCCAACCUCAUCAAUGCCAAAACAUGUGGUCGAUGUUGAUGAAGAUGUGAUAAAGAGAUUAUAGAGUCUGUUCGAUGAGGUAAAUAUGGUAUAAAUUGGUGAAGGUUUUAGUAAAGUAGAUGUGCAGCUCGUUGGUCCAAACAUGAAGCUUAGCAACUGGGAAGCUACUCAUCACCCUACUAGGAAGGAGUUUUUGUAGUCUGCUUUAUUUUCCUUUCUGUUAUAUGGAUUAUUCCAGGGUUGUAAUCCAUAUUUUUACUUAUUGCUUAUUUUGAUGUUCAAACCCUUCUAUACUUUUAUUUUCAACGAAAUGCAAUUUCCUGUUUUCAUUAUUCCUAAUAGUGUUUUUUUUGUAUUUUCUUUCAUAUAGUUCUUUUUAUACUGGUUGCAAUGACAUGGCAUACAUGAAGAAUUUUCAACCAAGUCAAAGCCAAUCUUUUCUGAAAUAACAAUCCAAAAAGUAGAAUAUGAUGAUGAAAUAGAAUACGAUGAAGAAGCAAAAUUUAAGGAAACCAGUAAAGAGCUAAAACAAUUUUAAGAAAAACCAAAACUAACCGAGUGAAACUGAAGCAAUCAAUUUAGAGGACCAGGAUAAUGUUAGGGAAACCAAGAUAAGUAUCUAUUUAGAACCGCAAGUUAAGGAGGAAAUAAUCAAAACAUUGUUUGAGUACAAAGAUGACUUUGCAUGGUCAUAUGACGAUAUGCCGGGCUUGAGCACUGAUCUGGUAGUUCAUAAAUUGCCAAUUGAUCCAUCAUUCUGUCAUAUAAAGAAAACAUUAAGAAAUUUCAAAACUGAGUGAGCGUGAAGUGCAAAGAAGAAAUCACAAAGCAGCUUAGUGCAAAGGUUAUUAGGGUAACAUGAUUCAAUUAACACUUACAGAUGUGCCCAGAUUCCAAAUUAGGGCAAACAAAUUUCUUUUGUUUUGUUUAUUUUGUUGUAAUGGCGGGCACUAUGCGCAGGGUCUGGGGAAGGAUCAGACCAUAAGGAUCUAUAGUACGCAGCCUAACCCUGUAUUUUUGGAAGAGGUUGUUUCCACGGCUCGAACCCGUGACCUCCUAGUCAAAAUUACACCCCAAGUAAUUGGUUACAUCCUUUUUGGAAAGGCUUACUCUCUCCUCUUGCACAUCUGCAUGAUCAUGAUUGUGGUUCUAGUUUGCGUACAGUUCCCGAACCAUGCUUAGAUUGGUAUGACCAGGUGACUCUAACCCACCUAGAGAACAAGGGAUACAAUUUAUGUUUUGGAAAUCAGACGCCCACCUAGAUAACAAGGGAAUAUAAUUCAAGUUUAGGCAAUCAGGUAUCUACUAGGAGAACAAGGGAAUACAUUUCAAGUUUUGGCAAUCAAGCGCCCACCUGGAGAACAAGGGAAUACAAUUCAAGUUUUGACAAUCAAGCGCCAACCUGAAGAACGAGGGAAUUCAUUUCAGAACUUUCAAUUCUCAAAUUCAAGAGGCAUCUCGAGCCCUCCUGAAGAACAGGGUCAACUUUUAAUUUUCAAGUUCAAGUUUGAGGAGUAUCAAGUGCCCUCUUGAAGAACAUGGUCCAUUUUUGAGUUUCAUGUUGAAGGAUCAAGUAGAGAUUCAAGGAAUAUUCAAGACAUGAAGUAGAUAUGAUCUUGUAUUUUUUACUUUUGCUGCAAUAUUUUCUUUUAUUUUGAUGUAAUGACAGGAACCGUGGACCGGAACCUCGACGACACUUCACUCGACUCUCCACAUCGGUGUACUCCAUCACACUUCUCACUCCGAACUACACGUGACCUGAUUCCUUUAUGGCAAAGGAUAUGUAGGCAGCUCAGAUACCAGGGCUUGGUCACAUUCUCUUUUCUUUUAGUUUUUGUAUUUCUAAAUAAGGGUCGGGUCAAAAACAUGUCUUAUUGUACUUUGCCCAAAAAUACUUCGUGUUCUCCAUCAAAGAGGGGCAACUAUAGACAUGUAAUUUUUGAUCUGCACAUAAGAAUUACCCUCAAUAGUCCUAGUAUUUUUAGAAUAUUACUUGAGAUUAUUUCUAUAACAAAAUUUGAAAAAAAUACAAAAAUAAUAGUAUCUUUCCUAUUUAAUUCAGGUAUUAGGUAUUUUUAGAAAGAUGAAUUACUUUCAACUUAUUUUAUUUUCAAUAUAAUCUUUAAAAAAAUAGUUUACGCUUUGGUUUUCUAUUUUAUUUUAAUAUAAUAGUUUAUUAAAACAAAUUAAGAGAUAUUUUAUAUAUAGGUAUCUUAUAUUACUUUAGAAGUAAAUUAAAUUUUCAUUUUUUCUUAGCCCAAUUUUUAUAGAAUUUUAAAGCUCAAUUCAAACUUGAGCCUAACAGUGCCAAGACCCAGCUGAUCCCUUGUCCAGUCCGCUUGUCAUAAGAAACCCAUCAAACCUGCCCCAUUUCUAGCUUUAGAUCUUGGCCAUCCAUUUCCUUUAAUCCAACGACCCUUAUUCCUCACCACCUUAAUAUAAAAACCUAAUAUUCCCCAAAACUCUAACCCUAAAGACUCAACUCCAAACUGCGCUCAUUUUCUCCUCUACCCACCAAAAAUCCACCGAAAAUUCUAGAAUCCGGCUAGUUCCAUGUGUGUAUGGUCCCCGUCCCUCAUCUUUCACAUCUACGUAAUCAAAAUCUCAACAAACUCUAAAACAGAGAAUAUUCUCGUUCCCUCAUGCGAUUUUCUUUCAUCUUUUGGAUGAAUUUUUGAAAAGAAUGAAAGCCGUGGGAUUUGAAUUAUUAAAAUCCUAUCUUUUUAUUUUUCCGAAGUUAAUCAAAAAAGAGCAAAAAAUUAGGAAUAUUUCGGAUUGGUUGGCUUGGAGAGCAAACACGGAAGUUUCUGGAACUUCUAUAUAUUUGGAGUUCGUUUUCAAACCAAGGGACUUUUUAGACAGAAAUAUCGGAGAUCGAGAAAAAUUAGGGUUCUUUCUUUCUUUGGGAGUUUCUUUUGGACUUUUCAGUUUUCUUAUUUUCAAAAUUAAAAAAAAGAAAAAAAGAAGAGUGUGAGUUUCUUUCAAAUUGUAUUUCUAACUCAGAAAAUCAGAAACAUAUAAUUCUUUAUUUUCUUCUAGAUUUUGCUUCAAACAUGGAAUUCGAUUAAAGUUUGGUUUGAGGUUCGCAUCUGGUUUUAGAUUCGAGGUGCCAUCCGAGGUUUAAGGUCGUGAUUCUUGGUCCAGCCUAGUCACUGCACUUGCUCGAUCCCUUUUUAUUGCUAGAUUUCUUUGUCUGAACAUUCAAAGUCGAAGUAAUUGAAAAUUUUCAUUUCGUUUCGGAUUCUUUUACUUCGUUUUGGUAUUGAUUCAAAGUAUGAUAAGAGCUUUAAGGGUAAAAAAUGGGCCUAGCACUAUGAAUUUAGUUAUAGGUUUAGAGAUGAAUAAUGGAAUCUGAAUGCUAGUAGACGUAGUCUUCAGAUAGUAUCACAUUCAUAUGAAUUGCCUCCUACUACAUGUGUUCUAUUUACUCCUGGUAUUUGAAUGUUUUCUGAUUUUGGUUUUGCCUGACUCUACAUGUUUAGUUGAAGUUUGAUCCAAUUGCGUGAUAGUUUGAAUGGAUUAGACAUGUCGCAUUAAUGUUAGAAUUAGCUUGGCUGAUUUUCUUGAUAGGCGAAGAUACCAUGUUAACACACUUUAGUCGAUUCGUUAUUGCAUUUCUUUAUAUGAAAUCGAGAACAUACAGCCUCGCUAUUAAGGUUUUCAUCAUGCCCUUUUGCUCUUGUUGAUGAUAGCAUCAGAUUGAUUCACAUAAAGUUUUGUUUUGAUUACUGAACAUCGAAAACUAAUUCAUAGCGCCUUAGCUGAUUUUAUUUCUGUUAGUUUAAACAUGAAAUUGGUGCUGGAAUUUCUUCGAAAUUGUUUUCACUAUUAGCGUGACUCAAUCUUUUUAAAUUGUGAUGCAAUUUCUUGCCUAAAGCAAGCUAGAUGAGGUUCUUUGGGUGUUAAAACAAUGACAACGUCCUAGUGUCAAGUGAGUUCGAGCCAGUGAUAUGUUUGGCCUGAUAUUCCCCAUUAGUCUUUUGAUUAUCUUUUGUUAAAAUUGAGCAAAGGCAAACAUUUCAAGUCAUGCUUGCCAUAACUUAAUCGUUUUGUAUGGCCUGAUCAAUCCAUAUCCUUGAAGCAGGCGUAAGGCCAUUUUUUGAAGCUAUCUUACGUCCAUGUUGAAAUCUGUGGAGUUUUCAUAGUCUUUUGAUUUCUCGUAUAAAAUAAUGGUAAACACUCAUUUGAAAGAUGAUUUUCCAUCAUUUUUGCUUGUGAGUAAGUUAUUUUGAAGCAUGACUGAAUAUAAUGAAUUGCUAAAAAUAUAAUAAACUUUGGACGCAUGUAUUUCAGGCUGUGGUAUUGCCUCAUUUCUCAAAAUCGGCUUGUGAUAGUAGCACACAUUGAUUAAGUCUAAUACAACAACCCAGUAUAAUCCCACUUAGUGGGGUCUGGGGAGGAUAGUAUGUACGCGCACUUUACCCCUACUUCCAAAUAGACCCCCGGCAUCCUUCCUUCCAAGAACUUCUCACCUUGCUCUUGGGGAGAUUCGAACUCACAACCUCUCGGUUGGAAGUGGGGGUUGCUUACCAUCAGAGCCCCUCUUCUCUUAACAUUGAUUAAGUCUAGUAUGAAAAAUAUUUUGGGAUUCUCUUUCAUGUCUAGAAUACUACGUGCAAGUAUAAAAUCUUGAGUUUUGUUAACUGGGUUGAUGACUUCAUUGCUUAUCAGUAUUGAUUUCUUUUGGAUUCAGUUUAUUGCUAUAUUCAAAAUAAGUUUCAAUAUUUCACUGCUAUGAGAUUAUAAAUUAGUUUAAUGGGGAUGGUUAGAUAGACUUUAGAUGGCUCUUAUCAUACUUUGGGUCUGCCAUUUCUUGAUUUAUUUUGUUUACUGUAUCUUCAAAUUGUUACAUUUGCCUUUUCUUUCAUUUAUUUCUAUGUCGAGUUUUAUCCUCAUGUGUAGAUAAUUUGAAUUAGUUAUUCUGAAUCACUAUUUUAUGGGAUCGCGUGGUAAUGAGGUAAGCUAAGAAAUUUAGAAGGAAAAAUCAGCAUGUUGUUAAUUCAUCCUCGCUUAGCUUUCUUUUAUAUUUUUUUUAUUAUCCUAUUGUUUCGAACAGCAGGAGCAUAUUUUAGGCCGACCACAAUUGGUUAGGCAAGCCUUGGGAUUUUGUUGGUUUUAUUCCGGGGUAUGCCCCGAAGUAUUUGUACUUGGAGAUCGGUAGUAGAACUUGUAGUAUUCUAUCUUUAUCUUUAUUUUUAUUUUCAUUUCUCUUCUUAUUAGGUUGGGACGACCUCGAGCCUCGUAUGUGUUUAUUUUGCUUUUCAGUGAUUUUACCUCAACUUGAAUAUUUUAAUAGUCGACUAGAUCAAGUAUGCAACCGUAUUUUGAGAGUGCCUAACACAUUCUCCCGAGUCAAAUGAACUCCCUUACCCGAAUCUCUGGUGCGGACUCAAUUUGGAGUCCAAAGUAUUUUAAAGGAAUUUUUUUUAAAAAAAAUAUUGACCUGAAUCAGGUGGUGACUUUGAGUUAUUUUCUUUUGAACACAAUUCUUUAUCACUUUCAAAAUUGAAAAUUCUUUUGAGCUUUACACAAUUCUUUUAUUAAUUAAGAGGGU